RNAcentral lists this transfer-messenger RNA (274 nucleotides) under Bartonella sp. RNAcentral describes it as "partial ssrA". It matches the Rfam family "Alphaproteobacteria transfer-messenger RNA", at positions 64 to 335 of the family's 355-position model. Rfam says of the family: Bacterial tmRNA, also known as 10Sa RNA or SsrA, is named for its dual tRNA and mRNA-like properties. Its role is to liberate the mRNA from a stalled ribosome. The record is from RNAcentral. Lineage: Bacteria; Pseudomonadati; Pseudomonadota; Alphaproteobacteria; Hyphomicrobiales; Bartonellaceae.
AAUGGACAAUGAAAUAAACCCAUUGGACCCGGGGGCGGUACCCGGCGCCUCCACCAAAAUAUAAUAAAUAAGGAUUAUAUUUUGGUGGGGGCGAAAUAGGAUCGACAAGGGCGUAAAGAUUGCUCUUUUACUCGGCAUUGUACCACCGUUAUCGGGCUAAAUGAGUAGUUGCAAAUGACAACUAUGCGGAAGCUCGUCUCGCCGCUUAAUGUGGUGCGAAAGCUUCAAAUUAACUCUUAAACCGUCGCAGGUUUAAGCGGGGUUCGGAGGCACC